CACGUUUUUUUUACACUUCCCACUUGGCUGUAUGGCAUACAGGUGUGUGCCUACGCGCCGGGAAAAAGUUAUGUUCGUUUGACAUUUCGUUUACGCGAUGACGAUGGCAAUUUAGUCCCGUCGCGAUUAUUUCUUUAAAGUGGUGUAUAAGCCACAUAUAUCAUGAUGAAAGGAUGGUGAAGUCUUCUGUAUAAAAACAAUGGUUUAGUCCAUCGACUAGGGGGAAUGCUGUUAUAAUAUCGUCCCACGUGAUGUGGGGUCAAAGUCCACCGGCAGAGUCCAGUGUU
This is a long non-coding RNA of Pectinophora gossypiella (pink bollworm), 287 nucleotides long. RefSeq lists it as uncharacterized. Lineage: Eukaryota; Metazoa; Arthropoda; Insecta; Lepidoptera; Gelechiidae. The transcript has 3 exons. The record is from RefSeq and is a predicted model, not a curated record.